RNAcentral lists this long non-coding RNA (1041 nucleotides) under Phasianus colchicus (ring-necked pheasant). Its description in RNAcentral is "lncRNA (ENSPCLG00000014617.1)". The record is from RNAcentral. Lineage: Eukaryota; Metazoa; Chordata; Aves; Galliformes; Phasianidae.
AUGGCUGCCACUCCAAAGCACAGCCGGCGGACUCGCUGGUCAACAGCCACCGAAGCAUUGCAACCUGCCAUCUGGGGGCCAGCAGGGCAAAGCGGCGACCGCCUCGAUGGCACAGCCAGAAGAGCGGCACAGGAAAUAAGGCUGCCACCUUUCCCUGAAGAGCCGACGAACACCCCAGGACGGAGAGUGAGCACCAACGCCCCCCAGAUGCCACCACCACCCGUUGGGCCGUGCUCGCUCCCCGGUCCCCCGGCAGCUGUUUCCGUCUGUGAGCAGGGCAGCAGGUCCGCCCGUGCCGCGGAUGGCAGCGGCGGGGCGAAUCCCACCCGUGCAGCAGAGAGGGAGCGCACGCACUUGGCGGUACGCCGGUUCCCCCGCUCAGAGCCCGCUGCGAACACCGCUUGCGGGCGUUAUUCCUGCCUGCUCCCAAGCUGCACCUGGAAAGCAGGGACAAUAAGAGGCUCUCCGGGAGGAGGGAAUCUCGUCGGGAUUUUUCGGGGCGGCGGGAGCCCGGCCGGCAGCGGGCGGGCCGAUUUCCUUCCAGCAUUGUUUUAUUUCGAUUCCCGAACGGCGACGGGCUGCGCGCUCACAGCUCCGGCCUCUCCGCCGCCCCGGGGGCACCCCUGCCCCGGCCCCCGCCGAACUUCGCUCUGCCGGGAGGGGGCUCGGCGGGGGCUGACGUCACGCCGGGAAGCGGCGAGGGGGGGGGUCCCCGCCCCGGGACCCUACGGCGGGCCCGCUCCGAGGGCUGGACUGGGCAGGGCGGGCGGCCCCCCCCGGCGAUUUACGAUCGUUCCCGGCUCCCGCUCCCCGCUCGCGGGGAGAGGUUCGCCCCGGAGCCACCGCGACCCGGUCCCGGCCCCGCCCGCCGCGCCCGCACUAUGGAAGGCACCGCCGGGGGCCCUUCCUCACCGCCACGGGGGUUACCGCGUCCCGCCCGCGCCCCCCGCCCCGAUCCGACAGACGGACGUACGGACGGAGGGAGGGAGGAAGGGAGGGAGGGAAUCCCCGCGAGUGGGCGAAAAUGACAAGCGGCCGUGA